Molecule: ribosomal RNA, 432 nt
Filed under: uncultured bacterium
Lineage: Bacteria
Description: partial 16S ribosomal RNA
Rfam family: Bacterial small subunit ribosomal RNA
Source: RNAcentral
AACGAACGCUGGCGGCAUGCCUAACACAUGCAAGUCGAACGAGACCUUCGGGUCUAGUGGCGCACGGGUGCGUAACGCGUGGGAACCUGCCCUUAGGUUCGGAAUAACUCCCCGAAAGGGGUGCUAAUACCGGAUAAUGUCUUCGGACCAAAGAUUUAUCGCCUUUGGAUGGGCCCGCGUUUGAUUAGCUAGUUGGUAGGGUAAAAGCCUACCAAGGCGACGAUCCAUAGCUGGUCUGAGAGGAUGAUCAGCCACACUGGGACUGAGACACGGCCCAGACUCCUACGGGAGGCAGCAGUGGGGAAUAUUGGACAAUGGGCGAAAGCCUGAUCCAGCAAUGCCGCGUGAGUGAUGAAGGCCUUAGGGUUGUAAAGCUCUUUUACCCGGGAUGAUAAUGACAGUACCGGGAGAAUAAGCUCCGGCUAACUCCGU